GACAAACGCUGGCGGCGUGCUUAACACAUGCAAGUCGAACGGAAAGGCCCUGCUUUUGUGGGGUGCUCGAGUGGCGAACGGGUGAGUAACACGUGAGUAACCUGCCCUUGACUUUGGGAUAACUUCAGGAAACUGGGGCUAAUACCGGAUAGGAGCUCCUGCUGCAUGGUGGGGGUUGGAAAGUUUCGGCAGUUGGGGAUGGACUCGCGGCUUAUCAGCUUGUUGGUGGGGUAGUGGCUUACCAAGGCUUUGACGGGUAGCCGGCCUGAGAGGGUGACCGGCCACAUUGGGACUGAGAUACGGCCCAGACUCCUACGGGAGGCAGCAGUGGGGAACAUUGCACAAUGGGCGGAAGCCUGAUGCAGCAACGCCGCGUGCGGGAUGACGGCCUUCGGGUUGUAAACCGCUUUCGCCUGUGACGAAGCGUGAGUGACGGUAAUGGGUAAAGAAGCACCGGCUAACUACGUG
This 468-nucleotide ribosomal RNA is filed under the name uncultured bacterium. Its description in RNAcentral is "partial 16S ribosomal RNA". It matches the Rfam family "Bacterial small subunit ribosomal RNA", at positions 28 to 507 of the family's 1533-position model. The record is from RNAcentral.